Molecule: transfer RNA, 66 nt
Filed under: Pegomya bicolor
Lineage: Eukaryota; Metazoa; Arthropoda; Insecta; Diptera; Anthomyiidae
Description: tRNA-Gly
Source: RNAcentral
AUUUAUAUAGUAUAAAAAGUAUAUUUGACUUCCAAUCAUAUGGUCUAUUAUUUAAUAGUAUAAAUA